UUGCUUCAGCAGCACAUAUACUAGAAUUGGAAUGAUACAGAGAUUAGCAUGGCCCCUGCACAAGGAUUACACACAAAUUUGUGAAGUGUUCCAUAUUUUU
This is a small nuclear RNA of Balaenoptera musculus (blue whale), 100 nucleotides long. NCBI's taxonomy places the organism in Eukaryota, Metazoa, Chordata, Mammalia, Artiodactyla, Balaenopteridae. The record is from Ensembl.